Molecule: ribosomal RNA, 262 nt
Filed under: uncultured bacterium
Lineage: Bacteria
Description: partial 16S ribosomal RNA
Rfam family: Bacterial small subunit ribosomal RNA
Source: RNAcentral
GGUCUCCUACGGGAGGCAGCAGUGGGGAAUAUUGCACAAUGGGCGCAAGCCUGAUGCAGCGACGCCGCGUGCGGGAUGGAGGCCUUCGGGUUGUAAACCGCUUUUGUUCAAGGGCAAGGCACGGUCUUUGGCCGUGUUGAGUGGAUUGUUCGAAUAAGCACCGGCUAACUACGUGCCAGCAGCCGCGGUAAUAUGUAGGGUGCAAGCGUUAUCCGGAUUUAUUGGGCGUAAAGUGCUCGUAGGCGGUUCGUCGCGUCCGGUG